CUCGUAGGUGGCUUUGUAAGUCAGGUGUGAAAGCCCACGGCUCAACCGUGGGAUUGCACUUGAUACUGCAUCGCUAGAGUAUAGGAGAGGGAAGUGGAAUUUCUGGUGUAGGAGUGAAAUCCGUAGAGAUCAGAAGGAACACCCGUGGCGAAGGCGACUUCCUGGACUAUUACUGACACUGAGGAGCGAAAGCGUGGGGAGCAAACA
RNAcentral lists this ribosomal RNA (207 nucleotides) under uncultured bacterium. Its description in RNAcentral is "partial 16S ribosomal RNA". It matches the Rfam family "Bacterial small subunit ribosomal RNA", at positions 568 to 774 of the family's 1533-position model. The record is from RNAcentral.